Molecule: ribosomal RNA, 206 nt
Filed under: uncultured bacterium
Lineage: Bacteria
Description: partial 16S ribosomal RNA
Rfam family: Bacterial small subunit ribosomal RNA
Source: RNAcentral
AGACUGCAGGCUGCAACUCGCCUGCACGAAGUCGGAAUUGCUAGUAAUCGUAGGUCAGCAUACUACGGUGAAUACGUUCCCGGGCCUUGUACACACCGCCCGUCAAACCAUGAGAGUCGGGAACACCCGAAGUCCGUAGCCUAACCGCAAGGGGGGCGCGGCCGAAGGUGGGUUCGAUAAUUGGGGUGAAGUCGUAACAAGGUAAC